This 253-nucleotide ribosomal RNA is filed under the name uncultured bacterium. Its description in RNAcentral is "partial 16S ribosomal RNA". It matches the Rfam family "Bacterial small subunit ribosomal RNA", at positions 524 to 776 of the family's 1533-position model. The record is from RNAcentral.
UACAUAGGGGGCAAGCGUUAUCCGGAAUUACUGGGUGUAAAGGGUGCGUAGGCGGUUAGAAAAGUCAGAUGUGAAAACCCAUGGCUCAACUAUGGGAAUGCAUUUGAAACUUUCUGACUAGAGUACAGGAGAGGUAAGUGGAAUUUCUAGUGUAGCGGUAAAAUGCGUAGAUAUUAGGAAGAACACCAGUGGCGAAGGCGACUUACUGGACUGAAACUGACGCUGAGGCACGAAAGCGUGGGGAGCGAACAGG